GACAGAGGGUGCGAACGUUGUUCGGAAUUACUGGGCGUAAAGCGCGUGUAGGCGGCAACGCAAGUCGGGCGUGAAAUCCCACGGCUCAACCGUGGAAGUGCACUCGAAACUGCGUAGCUAGAGUCCUGGAGAGGAAGGUGGAAUGCUUGGUGUAGAGGUGAAAUUCGUAGAUAUCAAGCGGAACACCGGUGGCGAAGGCGGCCUUCUGGACCGGCAUUGACGCUGAGGCGCGAAAGCCAGGGGAGCAAACGGG
RNAcentral lists this ribosomal RNA (253 nucleotides) under uncultured bacterium. RNAcentral's name for it is "partial 16S ribosomal RNA". It matches the Rfam family "Bacterial small subunit ribosomal RNA", at positions 524 to 776 of the family's 1533-position model. The record is from RNAcentral.